CUUAUUAAGAGUGGUGGAGGGAUCGGCCCUAUGAAGCCCGGCAACCUGCAAAUGCAAGGUGCCAAAUCCGGCGGUGCAAAUCGAAAGAUGAGG
This 93-nucleotide non-coding RNA is filed under the name human gut metagenome. Its description in RNAcentral is "SAM riboswitch (S box leader)". It matches the Rfam family "SAM riboswitch aptamer (S box leader)". Rfam says of the family: The SAM riboswitch is found upstream of a number of genes which code for proteins involved in methionine or cysteine biosynthesis in Gram-positive bacteria. The SAM riboswitch acts at the level of transcription termination control. The predicted structure consists of a complex stem-loop region followed by a single stem loop terminator region. The record is from RNAcentral.